This 163-nucleotide ribosomal RNA is filed under the name uncultured bacterium. RNAcentral's name for it is "partial 16S ribosomal RNA". It matches the Rfam family "Bacterial small subunit ribosomal RNA", at positions 393 to 539 of the family's 1533-position model. The record is from RNAcentral.
AACGCCGCGUGAGUGAUGAAGGCCUUCGGGUCGUAAAGCUCUGUCGGAGGGAACGAAUGCUUUUGAGGUUAAUAGCCUCAGGAGGUGACGGUACCCUCAAAGGAAGCACCGGCUAACUCUGUGCCAGCAACGGCGGUGACUGAGCGGGCUGGCAAGGCGCAUA